AGCGAACGCUGGCGGCAGGCCUAACACAUGCAAGUCGAACGAACUCUUCGGAGUUAGUGGCGGACGGGUGAGUAACACGUGGGAACGUGCCUUUAGGUUCGGAAUAACUCAGGGAAACUUGUGCUAAUACCGAAUGUGCCCUUCGGGGGAAAGAUUUAUCGCCUUUAGAGCGGCCCGCGUCUGAUUAGCUAGUUGGUGAGGUAAAGGCUCACCAAGGCGACGAUCAGUAGCUGGUCUGAGAGGAUGAUCAGCCACAUUGGGACUGAGACACGGCCCAAACUCCUCGGGGAGGCGGGAGGGGGGAAUCUUGGGCAAUGGGGGAAAGCCUGAGGCGGCCAUGCCGGGUAAAAUAUGAAGGUCUUGGGAUUGUAAAAUUCUUUCCCCGGGGACGAUAAUGGCGGUACCCGGGGAAGAAGCCCCGGCUAAUUUCGG
Molecule: ribosomal RNA, 432 nt
Filed under: uncultured bacterium
Lineage: Bacteria
Description: partial 16S ribosomal RNA
Rfam family: Bacterial small subunit ribosomal RNA
Source: RNAcentral